AAAAAGAGGAGUGGCGAACGGGUGAGUAACACGUGGGUAACCUGCCCAUCAGAAGGGGAUAACACUUGGAAACAGGUGCUAAUACCGUAUAACAAUCGAAACCGCAUGGUUUUGAUUUGAAAGGCGCUUUCGGGUGUCGCUGAUGGAUGGACCCGCGGUGCAUUAGCUAGUUGGUGAGGUAACGGCUCACCAAGGCCACGAUGCAUAGCCGACCUGAGAGGGUGAUCGGCCACAUUGGGACUGAGACACGGCCCAAACUCCUACGGGAGGCAGCAGUAGGGAAUCUUCGGCAAUGGACGAAAGUCUGACCGAGCAACGCCGCGUGAGUGAAGAAGGUUUUCGGAUCGUAAAACUCUGUUGUUAGAGAAGAACAAGGAUGAGAGUAACUGUUCAUCCCUUGACGGUAUCUAACCAGAAAGCCACGGCUAACUACGUGCCAGCAGCCGCGGUAAUACGUAGGUGGCAAGCGUUGUCCGGAUUUAUUGGGCGUAAAGCGAGCGCAGGCGGUUUCUUAAGUCUGAUGUGAAAGCCCCCGGCUCAACCGGGGAGGGUCAUUGGAAACUGGGAGACUUGAGUGCAGAAGAGGAGAGUGGAAUUCCAUGUGUAGCGGUGAAAUGCGUAGAUAUAUGGAGGAACACCAGUG
RNAcentral lists this ribosomal RNA (643 nucleotides) under uncultured Bacilli bacterium. RNAcentral's name for it is "bacterial SSU rRNA". It matches the Rfam family "Bacterial small subunit ribosomal RNA", at positions 85 to 714 of the family's 1533-position model. The record is from RNAcentral. Lineage: Bacteria; Bacillati; Bacillota; Bacilli.